UGCUACAAUGGGUAGUACAGAGGGUUGCCAAGCCGUAAGGUGGAGCUAAUCCCUUAAAGCUACUCUCAGUUCGGAUUGUAGGCUGAAACUCGCCUACAUGAAGCUGGAGUUACUAGUAAUCGCAGAUUAGAAUGCUGCGGUGAAUGCGUUCCCGGGUCUUGUACACACCGCCCGUCACACCACGGGAGUUGGAGACGCCCGAAGCCGACUAUCUAACCUUUUGGAAGAAGUCGUCGAAGGUGGAAUCAAUAACUGGGGUGAAGUCGUAACAAGGUAGCCGUAUCGGAAGGUGCGGCUGGAUCACCUCCUUUCUAAGGAGA
This 320-nucleotide ribosomal RNA is filed under the name Clostridioides difficile. RNAcentral's name for it is "partial 16S ribosomal RNA". It matches the Rfam family "Bacterial small subunit ribosomal RNA", at positions 1223 to 1533 of the family's 1533-position model. The record is from RNAcentral. Lineage: Bacteria; Bacillati; Bacillota; Clostridia; Peptostreptococcales; Peptostreptococcaceae.